GUGUUAGGUCGUGCUAGCUUGUAUCAUGUCGUGUUAGGUCCUGCUAGCUUGUAUCAUGUCGUGUUAGGUCCUGCUAGGUCGUGCUAGCUUGUAUCAUGUCGUGUUAGGUCCUGCUAGGUCGUGCUAGCUUGUAUCAUGUCGUGUUAGGUCCUGCUAGGUCGUGCUAGCUUGUAUCAUGUCGUGUUAGGUCCUGCUAGGUCGUGCUAGCUUGUAUCAUGUCGUGUUAGGUCCUGCUAGGUCGUGCUAGCUUGUAUCAUGUCGUGUUAGGUCCUGCUAGGUCGUGCUAGCUUGUAUCAUGUCGUGUUAGGUCCUGCUAGGUCGUGCUAGCUUGUAUCAUGUCGUGUUAGGUCCUGCUAGGUCGU
Oncorhynchus mykiss (rainbow trout) is the source of this 362-nucleotide non-coding RNA. NCBI's taxonomy places the organism in Eukaryota, Metazoa, Chordata, Actinopteri, Salmoniformes, Salmonidae. The record is from RefSeq and is a predicted model, not a curated record.